AUCUAGCCCCGAUAGGAAUGAUAUCCUUUUGUGGAGGUGUUCGCCACAAAAGAUAAAAUGGAUAGCGGUACUAAAU
Flavobacterium sp. LM4 is the source of this 76-nucleotide non-coding RNA. The record is from Rfam. NCBI's taxonomy places the organism in Bacteria, Pseudomonadati, Bacteroidota, Flavobacteriia, Flavobacteriales, Flavobacteriaceae.